UACUUAUUUGAUUUUGCUAUUGGAUGUUAAUUUUUUUAUUACAACUAUUUUUUGAGAUGCCCCUGAACUUUGGUUGGAUCUUUUUGUUUGCAAUUCUUGUAAGUUUUGUAAAUAAUUUCUUAUAUUAUUAUAAACUAAGGAUAUUAUUUUGUGAAAAACCUGCUCCAAUGUCUUAUAAAUAUUUAGAUUAGAUAUCUUCUGGAUACUUGGUUCAUAUACCUUGUGAAUAACCUGAUUUAAUACCAUAUUGAUAUAUUAUUUAGGUACCUCAUAGAUACUCUAGUCGAUAAUAUAUAGGUAUUCAGUUCAUAUAUCUUGUAGGUACUUUGAUUUGGAAUUGUAUAGAUACUUGGUUCAGGUAUCUCAUCAUUAUAUUGGUCCAAUAUUAUAUAUAUACUCAAUUGAGAUACUUUGUGGAAAUCCUGAUUUGGUCUUGUAUACAUAGCCAUCAUUUUAUUUUCUUCAAAAUGAAUGUCUUGUAGAGAAAUAGAUCUUAAAUCUUUGAAAUUAGACUAUAAUUGUUCUUCUAUUUUUGAUAGAAGUUGUGUUGUUACUUUAUGAUUUUUUUUUUAAUCAUUUUCUAAUAUAAUAAUAUUUUUUUAAACUAUCAAUUUGGUCAAAUAACUAUUGAAUAUUUGUAGAUGUAAAUCCAUCAUUUGUAUUAUAAUUUCUUAAAUACUUUAAAAAACUAUUU
This 694-nucleotide long non-coding RNA is filed under the name Physcomitrium patens. RNAcentral describes it as "long non-coding RNA (PPAT_LNC003001)". Lineage: Eukaryota; Viridiplantae; Streptophyta; Bryopsida; Funariales; Funariaceae. The record is from RNAcentral.